UGAGUCUGAGCAUUGAUGGGAAUCUGCUGCAGAAGUGAUGGCGAAUGCAGGAUGUAAUAGUGCAAUGAACAGUAACUCCGGUGUGAGGACAGCACAACCUCCAAUCGUGAUGUUCAUUUGAGUAUCUACAAGGUGAAGAAAAGCCAUCUCUCAGUGAGAUCUCUCCACCACUGCCAACCAGCUCUUCCAGGCUGUGUAGUCUGGCACAGAAAGAGACAAAGCCACACUGAGUCAUUUACAAAAACAAGGCACCGCCCAUUAUUUUAGCAGCCUGGAGUGGACUACUGCUGGGAGAUCUCAAGUGCCAAACAAUAAAUGAAUCCUCUCCGUUUAAUCGUCACCCCUGCCAAUGAGAUGGGAGCUUUUGGAUGGUGAUUUCAUUAAAAAUCUGAUGGACUUCGAUCAGAACAGACAACAUUGCUGUAGCAACCGAAGUACGAAACACUAAUAACUGGGCUGACUGGACAGAUGGAAACAUUCAGUGGCCACCAUGAUGUACAGAAGGCAACCAAAUCCAGAGGAAAGUCUUGUGCCUCUGUACUCAACCAGCUCAUGCUGCACGAUGCCCAGUAGAGAGCACAAAAAGGAAUGGCAGGCCACAGCUCCCAGUUUGUUGAAAUGACGAAACUCUGCGCAUCAGCCUGACACGGCUUCUUUCUCCUGGAGAGGAUUCAUUUGCUGUAUUGACAAAGUUAGCAGGUAUGUGGAAGGGGAAG
Colius striatus (speckled mousebird) is the source of this 716-nucleotide long non-coding RNA. RefSeq lists it as uncharacterized. Lineage: Eukaryota; Metazoa; Chordata; Aves; Coliiformes; Coliidae. The transcript is spliced from 4 exons. The record is from RefSeq and is a predicted model, not a curated record.